ACAAGAUCGACAGAUCCCAUUUUGAUGCACACUCUAUUCCUACGAUGGACAUACUAUAACCAACAUACACCGUAAGAUUCCGAAUGGCUAUGUAACCAAGUAAUUGUACAGUCAAACUACAGUAACCCCAUUGUGAAUAAUCGAGGCACUGUAGAUCAAAGAAUUAUCUACACUACUCUAACUUUGAGCAAAUCACCAACGAAUAAGUAGCCAUCCUAGU
This 220-nucleotide long non-coding RNA is filed under the name Elaeis guineensis (African oil palm). RNAcentral's name for it is "long non-coding RNA (EGUI_LNC003467)". The record is from RNAcentral. Lineage: Eukaryota; Viridiplantae; Streptophyta; Magnoliopsida; Arecales; Arecaceae.